This 223-nucleotide long non-coding RNA is filed under the name Bos indicus x Bos taurus (hybrid cattle). RNAcentral's name for it is "lncRNA (ENSBIXG00000028484.1)". Lineage: Eukaryota; Metazoa; Chordata; Mammalia; Artiodactyla; Bovidae. The record is from RNAcentral.
AUAAUAUACUUUGACAUUUUCAUAUGACAGGUCAUGGAAGAUUGAAGUGAUUGUCACAGAACCCUUGCUUUGGCAAGAGCACAGCUGUGAAGAUUCAUUCAUUCCUGUAAUGAACAAAAGGCAUGAUGGUGUCAUCCGUGUUGCUGUUGUUGCUGUUUUGAAGUGAAAACUUUCUGUCCUCGAGGUGGUGAGGAACUCAGAAGGUGACAUUUCACUAAUGACU